RNAcentral lists this ribosomal RNA (405 nucleotides) under uncultured rumen bacterium. Its description in RNAcentral is "bacterial SSU rRNA". It matches the Rfam family "Bacterial small subunit ribosomal RNA", at positions 354 to 776 of the family's 1533-position model. The record is from RNAcentral.
GUGGGGGAUAUUGCACAAUGGGGGAAACCCUGAUGCAGCGACGCCGCGUGAGUGAUGAAGUAUUUCGGUAUGUAAAACUCUAUCAGCAGGGAAGAAAAUGACGGUACCUGACUAAGAAGCUCCGGCUAAAUACGUGCCAGCAGCCGCGGUAAUACGUAUGGAGCAAGCGUUAUCCGGAUUUACUGGGUGUAAAGGGAGCGUAGACGGUGAGGCAAGUCUGAUGUGAAAGGUGUGGGCUCAACCCGCAAACUGCAUUGGAAACUGGUUCACUUGAGUGUCGGAGAGGUAAGUGGAAUUCCUAGUGUAGCGGUGAAAUGCGUAGAUAUUAGGAGGAACACCAGCGGCGAAGGCGGCUUACUGGACGAUAACUGACGUUGAGGCUCGAAAGCGUGGGGAGCAAACAGG